CCCUUAGAUGUUCUGGGCCGCACGUGUGCUACACUGAGUGGAUCAGCGGGUCAGGUUACGCGAGAGCGUUUCCUAAUCUUCAAAUCCGCUCGUGAUGGGGAUUGACGGUUGCAAUUUUCCGUCAUGAACGGGGAAUACCUUGUAAGCGCGGGUCAUCAUCCCGCGCUGAAUACGUCCCUGCCCUUUGUACACACCGCCCGUCGCUCCUACCGAUUGAGUGGUCCGGUGAGGCUUUGGGAUCUAAGCGAAAAGAGCGUUUCGCUCCUUUUGCUGGGAGAACUCAGUCGAACCUUAUCAUUUAGAGGAAGGAGAAGUCGUAACA
This 322-nucleotide ribosomal RNA is filed under the name uncultured eukaryote. Its description in RNAcentral is "partial 18S ribosomal RNA". It matches the Rfam family "Eukaryotic small subunit ribosomal RNA", at positions 1470 to 1796 of the family's 1831-position model. The record is from RNAcentral.